CCUACGGGGGGCUGCAGUGGGGAAUAUUGGACAAUGGGGGCAACCCUGAUCCAGCCAUGCCGCGUGUGUGAAGAAGGCCCUCGGGUUGUAAAGCACUUUCAGUGAGGAAGAACGCCUGGUGGUUAAUACCCAUCAGGAAAGACAUCACUCACAGAAGAAGCACCGGCUAACUCCGUGCCAGCAGCCGCGGUAAUACGGAGGGUGCGAGCGUUAAUCGGAAUUACUGGGCGUAAAGCGCGCGUAGGUGGCUUGAUAAGCCGGUUGUGAAAGCCCCGGGCUCAACCUGGGAACGGCAUCCGGAACUGUCAGGCUAGAGUGCAGGAGAGGAAGGUAGAAUUCCCGGUGUAGCGGUGAAAUGCGUAGAGAUCGGGAGGAAUACCAGUGGCGAAGGCGGCCUUCUGGACUGACACUGACACUGAGGUGCGAAAGCGUGGGUAGCAAACAGGAUUAGAUACCCCGGUAGUC
Molecule: ribosomal RNA, 465 nt
Filed under: Vreelandella stevensii
Lineage: Bacteria; Pseudomonadati; Pseudomonadota; Gammaproteobacteria; Oceanospirillales; Halomonadaceae
Description: partial 16S ribosomal RNA
Rfam family: Bacterial small subunit ribosomal RNA
Source: RNAcentral